This 253-nucleotide ribosomal RNA is filed under the name uncultured bacterium. Its description in RNAcentral is "partial 16S ribosomal RNA". It matches the Rfam family "Bacterial small subunit ribosomal RNA", at positions 524 to 776 of the family's 1533-position model. The record is from RNAcentral.
UACGUAGGGGGCUAGCGUUGUCCGGAAUCAUUGGGCGUAAAGAGCGCGUAGGCGGCCAGAUAAGUCCGGUGUGAAAGUCACAGGCUCAACCUGUGAAUGCCGCUGGAAACUGUCUGGCUAGAGUCCGGAAGGGGCGAGUGGAAUUCCUGGUGUAGCGGUGAAAUGCGCAGAUAUCAGGAGGAACACCAACUGCGAAGGCAGCUCGCUGGGACGUUACUGACGCUGAGACGCGAAAGCGUGGGGAGCGAACAGG